RNAcentral lists this ribosomal RNA (546 nucleotides) under uncultured bacterium. RNAcentral describes it as "partial 16S ribosomal RNA". It matches the Rfam family "Bacterial small subunit ribosomal RNA", at positions 355 to 911 of the family's 1533-position model. The record is from RNAcentral.
UGGGGAAUAUUGCACAAUGGGCGCAAGCCUGAUGCAGCAACGCCGCGUGAGGGACGACGGCCUUCGGGUUGUAAACCUCUUUUAGUAGGGAAGAAGCGAAAGUGACGGUACCUGCAGAAAAAGCACCGGCUAACUACGUGCCAGCAGCCGCGGUAAUACGUAGGGUGCGAGCGUUGUCCGGAAUUAUUGGGCGUAAAGAGCUCGUAGGCGGUCUGUCGCGUCUGCUGUGAAAACCCGAGGCUCAACCUCGGGCCUGCAGUGGGUACGGGCAGACUAGAGUGCGGUAGGGGAGAAUGGAAUUCCUGGUGUAGCGGUGGAAUGCGCAGAUAUCAGGAGGAACACCGAUGGCGAAGGCAGUUCUCUGGGCCGUAACUGACGCUGAGGAGCGAAAGCGUGGGGAGCGAACAGGAUUAGAUACCCUGGUAGUCCACGCCGUAAACGUUGGGCGCUAGAUGUGGGGACCAUUCCACGGUUUCCGUGUCGCAGCUAACGCAUUAAGCGCCCCGCCUGGGGAGUACGGCCGCAAGGCUAAAACUCAGAGGAAUU